CCCAUAAAUGUAAACAGUUGUAACACCAUCACAUGCAGUCCGGAAUAUUUCCACCCGCCUCCCCCCAAAGGAUUCCUUGUACCCACCUGCCGUCGUUUAAAAAAGACGUCCUCGUGGGUAUGAAACGUGUCUCCUUGUGAUUUCAAUUUGCAUUUCCCAACGGACGCGGGUAUGGAGCAUUUCCGUGUCUUAGUACUGACCCGUGCAUUUCCUUUCGUGGAAGGUCUUUUCCAGUCUGGCUCAUUUCCAAACUGGUGUUACUUGCCUUUUUGCCGUUGAUCGGCGAGAUUCCUUACAUAUUGUGCGUGAGUCCCUUGUUUGGGAUCCGCAUGCUGAACGUUUGUUUCUCUCAGUGUGUAGCCUGCUGAUUCACUUGGUUAAUGGUACACAUCGGAGAGAAGACACAUACCUUUUGAUUAAGUUGGCCUGUUCGUUUUUAAAAAUCUCAUGAGUGUUGUUUUCCGUGUUCUGAGAAGCCUUUGUGAGCUGGGGAACCUCGCUGCGCCUCCCACGCAGGGCUCCUCCCUUCUCCCCGGAUGAGUGGGUUUUCCCCGCAUCAAAGCAGUUCUCUGUCCCGCCAGCCGGAUGUUUUCCAGCGUAACCCGCUUCUGACCCUGCGCACCUGGAGACAGCCUCGGAUCCCACGGGGUGAGGGCUCGGCCCCACGAGACUGCCCAGCCUCCUUCGGGGGCCACUUGUAGGUCCUGACCAGCCAGCUCUGAGUCCGAGGUUCCCACGGCCCCCUCUUCGGGUUCGAUCACUUUGCUGGGUGGCUCCCAGACCUCAGGAAACAGGUCUCCUGUUAGGGGCAGCACCGGUCAUCACUCAAUUUCCAGGCCCUCUCCAGAGAACAGAGGAUGAAACUGAAAAUUCUAAGCUUUUAUUCAUAGCUUGGUCUUUCUGGCGACCAGCCCCCAUCCAGAAGCCACCAAGAGCCACCUCCUUAGAACAAAGGACGUUCCUAUCACCCAGGCGAUGCCGAAGGAUUUAGGAGUUCUGCGCCAGAAACAGGGGCAGAGCCCUACACACGGGUCUGUCCUGUUAUUUCAUACGUCGUCUGCCCCAAGUCUUGAAGAUGGCUUACUGUUACCACGUUUAAGUUUGAUUCCACUGGAUUGGAGAAUAUAACCUGUAUGAUUUCCGUCUUCCUGUGUGUUUUGAGACAUGCUUUAUGGGCAAGCAAAUGGCCUGUCCUGGCGACCAUUCCUUGCAUUCCUGGGAAGAAUGUGAGUUGUUGAUGGGGUGACCCCUCGAUGGUGCGCAAGGCCCUCCUUCACAUCUUCUGUAUUCUUCGGGCCUGAAGACAGUGAGGAGGGCUCCGAGUACAUGCUCUGUGCUGGUGGGGCGGGCGGACAGGGUCUCCCUGCAAGGAACCAGGCUUUGCUGUAACAUGCCAAUUCAGAACCCACGUAUCUCACGCUUAGAGACCGUCUACAGCAGCAGAUGAAAGUUACUCGAUUUCUUUAAGUCGACUACUUGUUAAGGGCGUCAGGUGUGUCUGUCCUGGCUGGGGAGCUGGGGGGGGGGGGACAAGUUUUCAUCAGGGGACGG
Long non-coding RNA from Prionailurus viverrinus (fishing cat), 1551 nucleotides. RefSeq lists it as uncharacterized. The record is from RefSeq and is a predicted model, not a curated record. The transcript has 3 exons. Lineage: Eukaryota; Metazoa; Chordata; Mammalia; Carnivora; Felidae.